Molecule: long non-coding RNA, 793 nt
Filed under: Pan troglodytes (chimpanzee)
Lineage: Eukaryota; Metazoa; Chordata; Mammalia; Primates; Hominidae
Description: long non-coding RNA NONPTRT009618
Source: RNAcentral
AAAAAUCCAAAAAUUAGCCGGGCGUGGUGGCAGGCGCCUGUACUCCCAGCUACUCCGGAGGCUGAGGCAGGAGAAUCGCUUGAACCCGGGAGGUGGAGGUUGCAGUAAACUGAGAUCUCACCACUGCACUCCAGCCUGGGUGACAGAAUGAGACACCGUCUGAAAAUAAUAAUAAUAAUAAUAAUAAUAAUAAAGAAUGGUACAAGUAAAAGGCACUGAGGGGCGGGGGGGCAGGCCGCCUAGAGGAAGCUCUAGGGAGCCCCGGAAGCCCGGGACAUAGCUUUCCCUUUGAAAGUCUCCACCUGGGAGCCUAGUGGGCACAAAAGAGGUGGGGCUAAUUACUGAGGACAGAGCCUUAGGACUUUGGGGAGAGGAGAGCCAUGUGACCUUGGGGAGCAAGAGACAAAUUUGAGCCCCGAUUUCCUCAUCUGUAAAAUAAGGACAUAGUAUCCAUUUCAUAGGGACAUCAGGAAAACUGGAUGCAAAGAGCAAUGGCUAAGCACCUGCAAUACUUCAUUUCUUUUUGAGACAGGGUCUCACUGUCACCCACGCCCAGGUUCAAGUAGAGUAGCGCAAUCUCAGUUCACUGCAACCUUGACCUCCCAGGCUCAGGUGAUCCUCCCAACUCAGCCUCUCAAGAAGCUGUAACUAUAGGCACGUGCUACCACGCCUGGCUAAUUUGUGUGUGUGGUUUUUUUUUUUUUUUUUUUUUUUUGAGACGGAGCCUCACUCUGUCACCCAGGCUGGAGUGCAGUGGCCUGGUGUUGGCUCACUGCAACCUCUGCCUCCUGGG